CUGACAUCCCCUCAGCCUGGAGGGCGCCCUCCUGGUCCCCUCGUAUCUGACAUCCCCUCAGCCUGGAGGGCGCCCUCCUGGUCCCCUCCUGUCUGACAUCCCCUCAGCCUGGAGGGCGCCCUCCUGGUCCCCUCCUGUCUGACAUCCCCUCAGCCUGGAGGGCGCCCUCCUGGUCCCCUCCUGUCUGACAUCCCCUCAGCCUGGAGGGCGCCCUCCUGGUCCCCUCCUGUCUGACAUCCCCUCAGCCUGGAGGGUGCCCUCCUGGUCCCCUCCUGUUUGACAUCCCCAGAGUUACUCCUUGGGUCCUUUGAGAGAUGAGACACCAGCUGCACCCAGCAAGCCCUGUCCCCACCCCCAGCUAAUCAAGGCAUUACCCCGGAGGCCGGGCGCAGUGGCUCACGCCUGUAAUCCCAACACUUUGGGAGGCCAAGCCUGUGCAAUUCUCGUCAACACAGAACACCUGCCUGCCCACCCCCGGUGCUGAAGACCGACCAGUCAAGGAGGUGUUGGUGGGAGUGUUGUGUUCACCAUGUGGAGAUCAGGCGGCGAUUACCGCAUCUUCUUUGCUGACUUUGGUAACCGGGUGUCCAGGGAGGAGCGAUCGGGAGUGGCCAAGCAGUUGCCUGGACUCAGCUUCUGACUCUGCAGCUGGGAGUCAGAUGCAGGCCCAAGGGUCCAGGGGAGUUGUUCAGCGCCUGGAAUCGCCAUGCAUUGCGCGGUGGACCGCACGACGCUCCUGCUCUGUUCUCCCAGGCACAGACAGGCACUUGGAAGGCAGCUUUGCUCCUCUGGCCACCCGGAAACCUCCCAGCAGUUCAGAUGGGACAAACUGGGGGCCUGUCAGAACAGCCACUUGUGCCGGGAAGGCCAGGCCCCGGCCUGCUCCGAUGAACGUCAGGACGGUGGCUGCAGCAGGGAACCAGGGCUGGCCUUGGAUCUGUCCAGUAGGGUCACUGACUGGGCAGGGCUUGCUGCAUAGAGGAUGGCUGCAUUUUGUGCUCAGAGUUGGUUGAAAUGGCUACGAAGUGUGGAGAAUAACCACUGAAUCCCAAAAAGUCACUGCGCUUGAUCUGAUCCAAGUAACAGUGACUGCAGUUAGGGUCGAGAGCUUCUCCGAAGCAGCGGUCAUGCAGGCUUUUGUGUGGCUGACGCUUCCCUUUUUCACAACAGUAAAAAGCUAUCAAUGGGAAAUUGUGGACUUUUCCCACCAGGGACUCAAUGGGGACUCAAUGUGCAAUAUUCAGUCAACAUAAAACUCUUUAAGAACUCC
Molecule: long non-coding RNA, 1270 nt
Filed under: Homo sapiens (human)
Lineage: Eukaryota; Metazoa; Chordata; Mammalia; Primates; Hominidae
Description: non-protein coding lnc-EXOC3-3:6
Source: RNAcentral